Molecule: ribosomal RNA, 253 nt
Filed under: uncultured bacterium
Lineage: Bacteria
Description: partial 16S ribosomal RNA
Rfam family: Bacterial small subunit ribosomal RNA
Source: RNAcentral
UACGUAGGUGGCAAGCGUUGUCCGGAAUUAUUGGGCGUAAAGCGCGCGCAGGCGGCCUCUUAAGUCUGAUGUGAAAGUCCCCGGCUCAACCGGGGAGGGCCAUUGGAAACUGGGAGGCUUGAGUAUAGGAGAGAAGAGUGGAAUUCCACGUGUAGCGGUGAAAUGCGUAGAGAUGUGGAGGAACACCAGUGGCGAAGGCGACUCUUUGGCCUAUAACUGACGCUGAGGCGCGAAAGCGUGGGGAGCAAACAGG